AAUGAACGUUGGCGGCGUGGAUUAGGCAUGCAAGUCGAGCGAGAACCCCGCAGGGGGGGACAGCGGCGAAAGGGACAGUAAUGUGUAGAUUAUCUGCCCUCAGGUCCGGGAUAGCUGCGGGAAACUGCAGGUAAUACCGGAUAACAUCUCCGGAUCAAAGGUGUGAUUACGCCUGAGGAUGAGUCUGCAUCCUAUUAGCUAGUUGGUGGGGUAAUGGCCUACCAAGGCAUUGAUGGGUAGCAGGUGUGAGAGCACGACCUGCGUCAUUGGGACUGAGACACUGCCCAGACACCUACGGGUGGCUGCAGUCGAGAAUCUUCGGCAAUGGGCGCAAGCCUGACCGAGCGACGCCGCGUGUGGGAUGAAGGCCUUCGGGUUGUAAACCACUGUCAGAGGGGAUGAAAUGCAGGUGGGUUCUCCCAUCUGUUUGACAUAGCCUCAGAGGAAGGACGGGCUAAGUUCGUG
RNAcentral lists this ribosomal RNA (465 nucleotides) under uncultured bacterium. Its description in RNAcentral is "partial 16S ribosomal RNA". It matches the Rfam family "Bacterial small subunit ribosomal RNA", at positions 29 to 507 of the family's 1533-position model. The record is from RNAcentral.